Molecule: long non-coding RNA, 3112 nt
Filed under: Malus domestica (apple)
Lineage: Eukaryota; Viridiplantae; Streptophyta; Magnoliopsida; Rosales; Rosaceae
Description: long non-coding RNA (MDOM_LNC011718)
Source: RNAcentral
GAUAAUAGACGAUUAAAAGUACGUAAGGUGCAGUGAAAACACUACACUAGACAUAUGAAUAAUGAUCUAUGCAGGGUCAUUCAAUUUAUUAGCAAAAGCAACCAUGUGGAUACAGGGUCAUAUCAAUCCAUCACAUUACACAAGCACGGUCUCUACAGAGAUUACAUUUCUUUUUAACUAAUUAAUUAACACUUUUUGGUGCACAUGCAUGUACGGGUCAAGCCACUACAUUUGCCUCUGGUGAAUUGCUCCUUUCUGCAGGUGUGUUUACAGUUGUUAGAGGAAAAGCACAACCCCUUGAACAAGGUGCUCGGAACCUCGCAGAUUUUUCCCUCAACUGCCUUGUUUGACUCAGUCAUUGCCUCAACACUUAUUGGCCCCAUCUCUAAUGAUCAAAAUUUUGUUGUUGAAUAAGAUGCUUUAUUCGAAACAUCAUAAAAAAUUAAUGAUAAUAAAGGGGUAUAAUUACCGGUAGCGGCCAAAAGUAGAACAAGAACGCAAACGGCUGAAACAAGACGCAUUGAACGCUCCAUUUGAAUCUGAGUGUAUGUGAGUAUGUGCUUGAUCCGUGUGUUUCUGUGUGUGUGCUUGAUUGUGAUAAGAGAGAUCUUAGCCGCUGAUGCAAAGAACAAUAACCAUGGAAGGCUUUUUAUACAGGGGUCUAGCCCAUAUUAAAAAGGAUUGGUCUCCGUAAAGCAAGGUAGCUCCAUACCCAAAAUACAAAGUUGAAAUUUCCAACUUAAGAGGCACCAUAAACAAAAUUUCUAAUUUUGAUGACUAAGUUCUCCGCCAUACAUUUUUCUAUGCAUACUAGGGUUUCUUUUUCAAGCACAUUUAACUUUUGCUUUUAAAAGAAUAGUUGGGUUAUAAGCACAUUUGACUUAUUAUUCAAAUUUUUAUAUGUAAAUGAAGUGGUGUGUGUGUGUGUGUGUAUCUCACAUAAAAGUCCAUAUUUCUUAUAACAAUAUAAUUGUUUUUUACACAAGUUUUAGUUUGUCUGUACCAAAUUAAUCUAAAUUAUAUAGAUCAGGAUUUGCACAUUAGGUGUAGACGAAGAUUACGUUGCUUUAGGUAACGUGGCUAAGCCUAAUAAAAAUGGAUGCUAAAGUCGAACCCUGAGGAAAUGAUGAUUAAUUGUAUUUCGUAGGGCAUUACAAAGACUUAAAUUUGUUGACAAAUAAGAAGUUACGCAGUAUGACGUAUUGUACAAAGUAACCCACAACGGUGAUACUUAACAAACAUGAACAUAAAAAACCAUAACAGAGAUACGAUGUCAAUUAAUCACCCAACAGUGAGUUAUUCCAACUAGUUCCACACUAGCACCAAAUUACGUGCAUCUAUGCACCACUAAUAAUUAAGUGAUAGUGAUAAGUGAUCAGCUCAUCACUAGCUUAAUUAAUUAGCUAAUUCACCAUUUUUUUGUGCAAAAGCAUCUGCGGCGUAAACCCAAGAACCAGCCACCAGUGAAGUGGUUACUCCAAGACUCGCAAGUCCUACCCUCAGCAAUUGUUGUCCCUUUGAACAAUUAUUCCAAACAAAAUAAGGUUACUAUGCAUGGUUAUAAACGGAAUAAUAUAUAUAGCAGAUAGUUGGGAGAAAACGCAUGGAACGCUUUUUAUGUAUAUAUAACAAGUUUACACUUAAGAUUUCGAACUUAGGGUAACUUAGAAUGACUAUUGAUAUAUAUAUAAGCUCUUAUAAAGUCAUACUAUAGCAAUACAUGAGAGACGAAGUUUGAGAUCGAUUUGACUUAGGACAUCCUAAAAAUAAAGUCAUAAAUUAAAAAGCUUAAGAAUUAACUAACAAAGCACAUAUAAUAAAUCAUAAAAUAUUUCAUACAACAUAGUACAAUAUCUCACAACGCAUUUUUAAGUUUUGAAAGCGUUGCAUAACAAUUUCAUUACCAAUAUCAUCAAAUAUCUAUUCCUAUCAAAAUAAUCAUGUUAUCAUUCAUCCAUUAAUUUUCUUACGAUUUAUCAUUUGAUCAUUUAGAAAUUUCAUAGCCGAAAAUACUCUAUGACAUGAAAUUAUAAUAUGCAAUAUAUGUAAAAAAAUUCACAAAAAACGAAGUUUGGGCAUCAGCUCCUUGGGCCAAGGUGGCUCCGUUCUUGGCAAUAUUACACAUACCAUGCAGAAAAGCGAGAGAAAAAUAUGAAAGUGUUGUAAGAAAGAAAAAAAUGUGGAAAAAGUCUUUUAAAAUGUUAUGAAGAAAAUAUUAAUCUUUAAGGACUAUUUCUUCUAAAAAAAUUAAAAAAAAACGAUGAAGUCUUUGCUUAAAAAUUGCUUAAGCAAUUUCGAACCUUUUUCUAAUUUUUUUUUCUUGUGCAUCAACCUCACCUUGUCUUAGAUAUAUUACUACUAGUUUAAAAGUCAAAGAACUUAAUACAACCGAAGGUGUCGAUAAAAAAAUACAUCUAAAAUCGACAAUGCUACUUAAAUAGUCUUUGUGACACAAAUUAAAGAAAUGUGUUGAAUCCAAGUACACUACGUGAAAUUUUUCAACAAAAAUGCCUUUUCAAAACGGAAAAAAAUAUAUUGUUAUUAGCAUUUGGCGAUAAUUAUCUAUCACUCUUUCUUAAUUGAAAGUCAAUAAAUGAAAGUAGAGUCUGUGGUGACUAUUUGGAAUGUUAAUAAUAACCCUGAAGAAAAACAUACAUGAUAGGCGAUUAAAAGUACAUAGGGCGUGGUGAAAACACUACACUAGACAUAUGAAUAAUGAUCAAUGUAGGGUCAUUCAAUUUAUUAGCAAAAGCAACCAUGUGAAUACAAGGCCAUAUCAAUCCAUCGCAUUACACAAACAUGGUCUCUACACAGAUUACAUUUCUUUUUAACAAAUUAAUUAGCACUUUUUGGUGCACAUGCAUGUACAGGUCAAGCCACUACAUUUCCCUCUGGUGAAUUGCUCCUUUUUGCAAGUGUGUUUACAAUUGUUAGAGGAAAAGCACAACCCCUUGAACAACGUGCUAGGAACCUCGCAAAUCUUUCCCUCAACUGCCUUGCUUGACUCAGUCCUAACCUCAACACUCAUUGGCCCCAUCUCUAAAGAUCAAAGUUUUUUGUUGAAUAAGAUGCUUUAUUCGAAACAUCAUAAAAAAUUAAUUAUUAAAAAGAG